UUUUCUCCAAUUGCCUAGCUCUUCUGCCUUGGAAUCAAUACUUAGUAUCAAUUCUAAGACAGAAGAAAGAAAGAAAGAAAGAAAGAAAGAAAGAAAGAAAGAAAGAAAGAAAGAAAGAAAGAAAGAAAGAAAGAAAGAAAGAAAGAAAGAAAGAAAGAAAGAAAGAAAGAAAGAAAGAAAGAAAGAAAGAAAGAAAGAAAGAAAGAAAGAAAGAAAGAGAGAGGGAGAGAGGGAGAGAGGGAGAAAAGGAGAGAAAGAAAAAGAAAGGAAGGAAGGAAGGAAGGAAAGAAGGAAGGAAGGAAAAGGAAGGGAAGGAAGGAAAAGGAAGGGAAGGAAGGAAUAAAGAAGGGAAGGAAGGAAGGAAGGAGGGAAGGGGGAAGGAGGGAGAGAGAGGGAGAAGAAAAGAGGAGAGGAGGAGAGAAAGGAGGAAAGGAGAAAGAGAAAGAAAGAAAGAAAGAAAGAAAGAAAGAAAGAAAGAAAGAAAGAAAGAAAGAAAGAAAGAAAGAAAGAAAGAAAGAAAGAAAGAAAGAAAGAAAGAAAGAAAGAAAGAAAGAAAGAAAGAAAGAAAGAAAGAAAGGAAGGAAGGAAGGAAGGAAGAGAGAAGGAAAAACAAGCCUUUAUUAAGAGCCUACUAUGUGCUGGGCACUGUGCUAAGAGCCGGACAAAUAUUACUCAUUUGAUCUGCAUGAUAAUCCUGAAAAGUAUUAGGGUGUUCAUUUUAAGGAUGAGGAAGCUGGAGCAGUCAGAAGUUAAGUGAUUUGCUCAAAGCUAUACAGCCAGUAAGUGUUUGAGUUCAGAUUUGAACUCUGGUCUUCCUGACUCCAGGUUCAGUGCUCUACCCACCAACCAACUGCCUCUAUAAAUGCAAUGGAAUCCUUUGUGCUAUAAGAAUGAUAAAAGGGAGUUUCAGAGAAACCUAGGAAGACUUGUAUGUACUGAUGCAGAAUGAAGUGAGAACUAGAAAAAACAAUUUAUACUAUAAAUAUCAAGAGUCAAAAUGAACAAUUUAGAAAGUCUAAGGAAUUCUAAUCAAUACAUUGAUCAACCAUGAUACCUAUGAUAAAGCAGGUUUAGAUAAAAAUUAUUAAUGAUUAAUUUUUUAGUAAAGUUAUUAAGAACAGAGUUGCAGGAAAGGUUGAAUUCUGUCCUUUGUAGAGUGAAAUAAGCAGAACUGGGAGAACAUUGUACACAAUAACAGCAAUAUUGGGUGAUGAUUAUCUGUGAAAACUUGGCUACUCUCAGGAGUGCAAUAAUCUGGGACAAUCCUGGAAGACUUAUGCUCUCAACCUCCAGAGAAAGAACUGUUGGAGUCAUCUUUUCACAUCAGUGAUUUAUGGUUUUAUUUUGGGGUUCUGGUUAUGUAUAACUUUGUUCUUACAACAAUGACCAAUAUGAAAGUAUUUUUUGCAUGACAAUAAAAAUGAAAAAAAUUAAUUCUAUCCUUAGAUG
RNAcentral lists this long non-coding RNA (1449 nucleotides) under Monodelphis domestica (gray short-tailed opossum). Its description in RNAcentral is "lncRNA (ENSMODG00000049710.1)". The record is from RNAcentral. Lineage: Eukaryota; Metazoa; Chordata; Mammalia; Didelphimorphia; Didelphidae.